This 280-nucleotide long non-coding RNA is filed under the name Solanum tuberosum (potato). RNAcentral describes it as "long non-coding RNA (STUB_LNC003740)". The record is from RNAcentral. Lineage: Eukaryota; Viridiplantae; Streptophyta; Magnoliopsida; Solanales; Solanaceae.
UCCCAACUUCACUAAACUACAUUGAACCUUUCAAGAAAAGAUAAUAAACUUAUGUGACCUAAAAAAUUACAAACUCUAAUUCCUAACAACACACAAACCUCUCAAGGUAUGUGUUCUCAUGUCUUUAAGUUACCCAACUUGAAGACUAUAAUCCUAAUUCAGUUUAUAAUACACUAAAUCUAGGAUUACAUUAACCUUUCAACUCAAUGAAAAACUCCUAAUACAAGAAUGCUAAAACACUUAGCCUAACUCUAUAAUAUGAUAUGUUUUUCAAUGUGUU